Molecule: long non-coding RNA, 1771 nt
Filed under: Suricata suricatta (meerkat)
Lineage: Eukaryota; Metazoa; Chordata; Mammalia; Carnivora; Herpestidae
Description: lncRNA (ENSSSUG00005022035.1)
Source: RNAcentral
CCCAGCCAUAACCUCUUCUGGACCCAAUCCUGACCCUGCCCACACCUCCCAUGUAACCCACUCUGACCCAGCCACCGCCUCAUGUCACUCACACAGGGUAGAGCAUGAGUCCAUGGCCAAUGUCCCAACCUCCUGGAAUCUCUCCAACUGUCAUGGAACCUCCCCCAACUCCAGCUGCAGGCUUGACUGAAGCCCUGAGGCCUGCCUCUGGGCAGCAGGGGAGACAAGAGGACAUAGAAGAAGGGCCAGAGGGAUUCAAACCGCAAAGGACCAAGCCGGAACCUGGGAGGGAGACCAACAGAUUUCCAGGUGGCCAUGGAGGUGUCUGGAAGGAGGAGCUGAAGCGGUUGGCAGGCUGUUUAGUGCAUCUGGGGACUGGCCUUGCCCACAUCCCCACAUGUCCCAGAGGCCCCAAUCUGGCCCCCAGAGCACCAAGCCAAGUUUCCUUCCAGCAGCAUCCAGUAAUACUCAAAAUGAGACUGAAGUCUCCCCACCAAUUACCUACAGGCCCCGGGUCAGUAUCCAAGGCUUUCAGCCCAUUACCAACAGUGACCAGGUCAGCAUCCAAGAGCCCUUGUCCAUUAUCCACAAUCACCAUGUCCAAGACCCUCCACUAGUCCACGGUUGCUGGGCCAGUACCCAAGACGCACCACCCAUUAUCAAUAGUGGCUGGAUCAGUACUGAGGACACGCCGUCCACCAUGAACAGUCAUCAGCUCAGUAUCCAAGACACAUCGUCAGUUACCUACAGUCACCGCUUCAGUACCCGAGAUGUUCCACCAAUUUCCCAAAAUCACCACUUCAGCAUCCAAAAUUCUCCAUUACUAUCUCAAGAGACCAAUAUAGAGUCUCUUAUCUACAGUGGUAGCCAAGUCAUUAGCCAAGACCAUCUUCCAACAAACCAGAGUCCCUGCUCAAGUACUCAAUGCCUCAUAUCGCCGAUCCAGGCCAAGGUUGAUGCCUCACCUUCAAUUACUCACAUCUCCACAGCCAGUAUCAAAAGCCUUGAUUCAACCAUCUGGACCUCCCAAGAGAGUUCCAAAGACACUAUGGACAGCUUCCUGGGCAACCCAAGUACUCUAGACAACAAUGUCCAGAGCAUACAGUCAAACAGAUCUGCAAAGAUGGAUUCUGGCAGACCUUCUGGACUUUGCCUGGGCCUUUCUCAUCCUCGCCAGCAUCACCAGCAUCUGCCUCUGCAUCUUACUCCUAAACAUCAUCUUCUUCACCAGCUCCAACACACCCACGCUGGACUUCUCCAACGGCAUCCUCGGGAUCCUGACAGGCAUGGCACUGAGACUUAUCCCUCCAGAACCCUGGCAAAGAGUGCCUUGCCCAGUGCCCAGGAUGAUAUCCAACCCCCUCCCCACCACAUUUCAACACUGUCCUUGUCCUCACAUUCAUUGCCCAUGCCAAUGCUAUCUCCCUCCAAAUCUCCAACCAAGCCCGAUAAAAAAUGUGAACUUCCAAUACAACCGCAUCUCCAGCCCCAAUAUCAGCCUCCAGUUCACCUGUCAUCUCUGUCACCAACGAAUCUCAAACUCAUCGGUAUUCAUUUUUGUGGUGUCCAUACCCAUCUCAUCCCCCAUUCCAAUUCUAUCUCUUUCCAAUCUCCAAACCAUCCCCCUUACCAUCCCUAACCCCUUUCCAAAUCUCAACACUCAUUCCAAAUCCAACCCAACUCUAUCACCUGUGAACCUCACUUUCAAACUCAACACAACCCCAUCCCCAACCUUACCGUCCAUCUUCAUCACUCAAACUUGAACCUCUAC